CUUGAGUUUGAUCAUGGCUCAGAUUGAACGCUGGCGGCAGGCCUAACACAUGCAAGUCGAGCGGAAACGAUGGAAGCUUGCUUCCAGGCGUCGAGCGGCGGACGGGUGAGUAAUGCAUGGGAAUCUGCCCGAUAGUGGGGGAUAACCUGGGGAAACCCAGGCUAAUACCGCAUACGUCCUACGGGAGAAAGCAGGGGAUCUUCGGACCUUGCGCUAUCGGAUGAGCCCAUGUCGGAUUAGCUUGUUGGUGAGGUAAUGGCUCACCAAGGCGACGAUCCGUAGCUGGUCUGAGAGGAUGAUCAGCCACAUCGGGACUGAGACACGGCCCGAACUCCUACGGGAGGCAGCAGUGGGGAAUAUUGGACAAUGGGCGAAAGCCUGAUCCAGCCAUGCCGCGUGUGUGAAGAAGGCCCUCGGGUUGUAAAGCACUUUCAGUGGGGAAGAAAGCCUUGGGAUUAAUACUCCCGAGGAAGGACAUCACCCACCAGAGAAGCCG
RNAcentral lists this ribosomal RNA (496 nucleotides) under Halomonas sp. M2-C9. RNAcentral's name for it is "bacterial SSU rRNA". It matches the Rfam family "Bacterial small subunit ribosomal RNA", at positions 1 to 493 of the family's 1533-position model. Lineage: Bacteria; Pseudomonadati; Pseudomonadota; Gammaproteobacteria; Oceanospirillales; Halomonadaceae. The record is from RNAcentral.